Molecule: ribosomal RNA, 458 nt
Filed under: uncultured bacterium
Lineage: Bacteria
Description: bacterial SSU rRNA
Rfam family: Bacterial small subunit ribosomal RNA
Source: RNAcentral
CGCUGGCGGCGUGCCUAACACAUGCAAGUCGAGCGAUUCUCUUCGGAGAAGAGCGGCGGACGGGUGAGUAACGCGUGGGUAACCUGCCUCAUACACAUGGAUAACAUACCGAAAGGUAUGCUAAUACAGGAUAAUAUAAGAGAUUCACAUGGAUUUCUUAUCAAAGCUCCGGCGGUAUGAGAUGGACCCGCGUCUGAUUAGCUAGUUGGUAAGGUAACGGCUUACCAAGGCGACGAUCAGUAGCCGACCUGAGAGGGUGAUCGGCCACAUUGGAACUGAGACACGGUCCAAACUCCUACGGGAGGCAGCAGUGGGGAAUAUUGCACAAUGGGCGAAAGCCUGAUGCAAGCAACGCCGCGUGAGUGAUGAAGGCCUUCGGGUCGUAAAACUCUGUCCUCAAGGAAGAUAAUGACGGUACUUGAGGAGGAAGCCCCGGCUAACUACGUGCCAGCAGCAGC